This 253-nucleotide ribosomal RNA is filed under the name uncultured prokaryote. Its description in RNAcentral is "partial 16S ribosomal RNA". It matches the Rfam family "Bacterial small subunit ribosomal RNA", at positions 524 to 776 of the family's 1533-position model. The record is from RNAcentral.
UACGGAGGGUGCAAGCGUUAAUCGGAAUUACUGGGCGUAAAGCGCACGCAGGCGGUUGGAUAAGUUAGAUGUGAAAGCCCCGGGCUCAACCUGGGAAUUGCAUUUAAAACUGUCCAGCUAGAGUCUUGUAGAGGGGGGUGGAAUUCCAGGUGUAGCGGUGAAAUGCGUAGAGAUCUGGAGGAAUACCGGUGGCGAAGGCGGCAUCCUGGACCAUAACUGACGCUGAGGCGCGAAAGCUAGGGGAGCAAACGGG